AAGAGACUACGUACAUCGGACUUGAAAAAACCUUUGGCCAAAAAAUGUAAAGUUCCAAGGGAAAUUUUAACAUUUUCUUUUAACAAAAAGAUUCAUAAGAAAUACUAUCAGCAUUAUGCUGAUGACGCCAAAAAUACGACGAUUGAUUUUGUUAAUGAUGAUUGCCUGGCUGAAAUAUUCAAGCGUGUGGCAGUAUGUGAAAGACCGAAAAUUGCAUUGGUAUGCAAAAAAUGGCGAAGGAUCCUUAAAAAAACUUGGUCCGAUGUCAGCAAACUUGAACUCACUCAUUGGCAAUGUGAUACUCGUCCAAGUUCUUUAAAAAAUCCUAGAAUACGAGUGUUUCGGGGGCAUGACUGGCGACACCCUCUAUUCUAUUUUACGAGAUC
This is a long non-coding RNA of Aphidius gifuensis, 386 nucleotides long. RefSeq lists it as uncharacterized. The record is from RefSeq and is a predicted model, not a curated record. The transcript is spliced from 3 exons. Lineage: Eukaryota; Metazoa; Arthropoda; Insecta; Hymenoptera; Braconidae.